RNAcentral lists this ribosomal RNA (373 nucleotides) under uncultured bacterium. RNAcentral describes it as "bacterial SSU rRNA". It matches the Rfam family "Bacterial small subunit ribosomal RNA", at positions 525 to 896 of the family's 1533-position model. The record is from RNAcentral.
ACGUAGGGUGCGAGCGUUAAUCGGAAUUACUGGGCGUAAAGCGUGCGCAGGCGGUUAUAUAAGUCAGAUGUGAAAUCCCCGGGCUCAACCUGGGAACUGCAUUUGAGACUGUAUGGCUAGAGUGUGGCAGAGGGGGGUGGAAUUCCACGUGUAGCAGUGAAAUGCGUAGAGAUGUGGAGGAACACCGAUGGCGAAGGCAGCCCCCUGGGCCAAUACUGACGCUCAUGCACGAAAGCGUGGGGAGCAAACAGGAUUAGAUACCCUGGUAGUCCACGCCCUAAACGAUGUCAACUAGGUGUUGGAAGGGUUAAACCUUUUAGUGCCGUAGCUAACGCGUGAAGUUGACCGCCUGGGGAGUACGGCCGCAAGGCUA